RNAcentral lists this ribosomal RNA (253 nucleotides) under uncultured bacterium. Its description in RNAcentral is "partial 16S ribosomal RNA". It matches the Rfam family "Bacterial small subunit ribosomal RNA", at positions 524 to 776 of the family's 1533-position model. The record is from RNAcentral.
UACGUAGGGGGCAAGCGUUGUCCGGAUUUAUUGGGCGUAAAGAGCGCGUAGGCGGCUGGGUAGGUCCGUUGUGAAAACUCGAGGCUCAACCUCGAGACGCCGAUGGAAACCCUCCAGCUAGAGUCCGGAAGAGGAGAGUGGAAUUCCUGGUGUAGCGGUGAAAUGCGCAGAUAUCAGGAAGAACACCCGUGGCUAAGGCGGCUCUCUAGUACGGUACUGACGCUGAGACGCGAAAGCGUGGGGAGCAAACAGG